CAAGGGCAGUCUUUCCCAGUCCUCCCAUUCCAACAAUGGAAACAAUUGCAAUAUCCUCUGUGAUGUUGGAAUUUAAUAGAAGAUCUAUGACUACUUCCUUGUCAUCAUUCCUACCGAUCACUUCCUCUUCAAGUAUGUAAGAGUUUCGUAGGAGGACUCGUCCACCAGGUCAUCAAUCUCGUACAAAGCAUCCUUAAGCCUUGAAACCCAAGCCUUGACAGCAAGGCUCUUGGACUGCUGCUCCUCCGCAUCGAGAAGCACAGCUUGAAUGGCAGAAAGCGAGUGUUUGAGUUUGUCGAGUUCAUCAUUGACACCCCACAACAACCCAAGCUCCUGUAGUGCGGAAGAGCCCAAUUUGAAUAUGAUGUCUGCAGUAACGUUGUAGAGAAUAGCUUCAGCCAUGGUGGAUGAAAAAGGAGCAAAAUUUUGGAGGAAGGGUAGCAACUUAGAUCAGGUUGAUAAACAAGUAGGAAGAUGGCUGAAGCUCCAAACUUGAUUCCAUUAACAUGGCUUAUACCAAACACAAGCUUUGCCAUUAACUUUUAUAGAUGAUCUUGGUCUAUGCACUCAAAUAAUAAUAUAAUGUUAGUACUA
Molecule: long non-coding RNA, 594 nt
Organism: Cucumis sativus (cucumber)
Lineage: Eukaryota; Viridiplantae; Streptophyta; Magnoliopsida; Cucurbitales; Cucurbitaceae
Exons: 3
Source: RefSeq, a predicted model, not a curated record